CAUGGAGCUUUAAACCCAACGUACACCCCUGUUAUAAGACGAGAAGACCCUGUGAAACUUUAAAUGUCCAUCAAGCAAGCCAUGAUCAAGACAUUUUUGGUUGGGGCAACCAAAGAGAAACACAAAUCUCUACAACCCGUCACGCGGCAAACAGGCCAAAUGACACCAACUUAAGACCCAGCAUCGCUGACUAAGGAACCAAGCUACUCCAGGGAUAACAGCGCCACAUUCUUAAAGAGUCCAUAUCAGCAAGAAUACUUACGAC
RNAcentral lists this ribosomal RNA (265 nucleotides) under Diploderma luei. RNAcentral's name for it is "partial 16S ribosomal RNA". The record is from RNAcentral. Lineage: Eukaryota; Metazoa; Chordata; Lepidosauria; Squamata; Agamidae.